UACGAAGGGGGCUAGCGUUGCUCGGAAUUACUGGGCGUAAAGGGCGCGUAGGCGGCACUGUUAGUCAGGCGUGAAAGCCCUGGGCUCAACCCAGGAAGUGCAUUCGAAACUCCCGAACUGGAGUCCUGGAGAGGAAGGCGGAAUUCUCGGUGUAGAGGUGAAAUUCGUAGAUAUCGAGAGGAACAUCGGUGGCGAAGGCGGCCUUCUGGACAGUGACUGACGCUGAGACGCGAAAGCGUGGGGAGCAAACAGG
This 253-nucleotide ribosomal RNA is filed under the name uncultured bacterium. Its description in RNAcentral is "partial 16S ribosomal RNA". It matches the Rfam family "Bacterial small subunit ribosomal RNA", at positions 524 to 776 of the family's 1533-position model. The record is from RNAcentral.